GUAUUUAAAUGCAUUAAAUUGCAAAAUAUUUACAUUCAAAGACUGACAUCAUGUUUGUAAUAAAAGACACAGAGAGACCCAGGCCACCGUCAAGCAACCUUUUUAAUGAGCCAAUCUAUGAGCAGUGCACAAAGGUGUGUGGAUGAAUAAUAGACAAGGUGUGCACAUGCCCAAAAGGCCAGCGACAACCUUACCAUUUAAAUUCAUUAAUGAUCCUUCCGCAGGUUCACCUACGGAAA
This 239-nucleotide unclassified non-coding RNA is filed under the name uncultured fungus. RNAcentral describes it as "sequence contains ITS1". The record is from RNAcentral. Lineage: Eukaryota; Fungi.